RNAcentral lists this ribosomal RNA (450 nucleotides) under uncultured bacterium. RNAcentral's name for it is "partial 16S ribosomal RNA". It matches the Rfam family "Bacterial small subunit ribosomal RNA", at positions 354 to 796 of the family's 1533-position model. The record is from RNAcentral.
GCUAAGAAUAUUCCGCAAUGGACGAAAGUCUGACGGAGCGACGCCGCGUGGAUGAGGAAGGCCGAAAGGUUGUAAAGUCCUUUUGUCGAUGAAGAAUAAGUGGUGGAGGGAAUGCCAUCAUGAUGACGUUAGUCGGCGAAUAAGCCCCGGCUAAUUACGUGCCAGCAGCCGCGGUAACACGUAAGGGGCAAGCGUUGUUCGGAAUUAUUGGGCGUAAAGGGUACGUAGGCGGUUAUGUAAGCCCGGCGUGAAAUCCUGCAGCUUAACUGUAGAGCUGCGCUGGGAACUGCGUAACUUGAGUCAUGGAAGGGAAGUUAGAAUUCCAGGUGUAGGGGUGAAAUCUGUAGAUAUCUGGAAGAAUACCGGUGGCGAAGGCGAACUUCUGGCCAAUGACUGACGCUGAGGUACGAAAGUGCGGGGAGCAAACAGGAUUAGAAACCCUUGUAGUCC